UUCCCAGACUCCUACGGGAGGCAGCAGUGAGGAAUAUUGGUCAAUGGGCGCGAGCCUGAACCAGCCAAGUCGCGUGAGGGAUGACGGUCCUACGGAUUGUAAACCUCUUUUGCCGGGGAGCAAGCGUGCGUUCGUGAACGCGCGUCGAGAGUACCCGGAGAAAAAGCAUCGGCUAACUCCGUGCCAGCAGCCGCGGUAAUACGGAGGAUGCGAGCGUUAUCCGGAUUUAUUGGGUUUAAAGGGUGCGCAGGCGGAGGUGCAAGUCAGCGGUCAAAUUGCGGGGCUCAACCCCGUACUGCCGUUGAAACUGGCAGUCUCGAGUUGGAGAGAAGUAUGCGGAAUGCGCGGUGUAGUGGUGAAAUGCAUAGAUAUCGCGCAGAACUCCGAUUGCGAAGGCAGCAUGCCGGCUCCACACUGACGCUGAGGCACGAAAGCGUGGGUAUCGAACAGGAUUAGAUACCCCAGUAC
RNAcentral lists this ribosomal RNA (468 nucleotides) under uncultured bacterium. RNAcentral describes it as "bacterial SSU rRNA". It matches the Rfam family "Bacterial small subunit ribosomal RNA", at positions 328 to 793 of the family's 1533-position model. The record is from RNAcentral.